Molecule: ribosomal RNA, 253 nt
Filed under: uncultured bacterium
Lineage: Bacteria
Description: partial 16S ribosomal RNA
Rfam family: Bacterial small subunit ribosomal RNA
Source: RNAcentral
CACGUAGGGCGCGAGCGUUGUCCGGAAUUAUUGGGCGUAAAGAGCUCGUAGGCGGUUUGUCGCGUCUGCUGUGAAAACCCGAGGCUCAACCUCGGGCCUGCAGUGGGUACGGGCAGACUAGAGUGCGGUAGGGGAGAUUGGAAUUCCUGGUGUAGCGGUGGAAUGCGCAGAUAUCAGGAGGAACACCAAUGGCGAAGGCAGAUCUCUGGGCCGUAACUGACGCUGAGGAGCGAAAGCAUGGGGAGCGAACAGG